RNAcentral lists this ribosomal RNA (468 nucleotides) under uncultured bacterium. RNAcentral's name for it is "partial 16S ribosomal RNA". It matches the Rfam family "Bacterial small subunit ribosomal RNA", at positions 28 to 507 of the family's 1533-position model. The record is from RNAcentral.
GACGAACGCUGGCGGCGUGCUUAACACAUGCAAGUCGAACGGAAAGGCCCUGCUUUUGUGGGGUGCUCGAGUGGCGAACGGGUGAGUAACACGUGAGUAACCUGCCCUUGACUUUGGGAUAACUUCAGGAAACUGGGGCUAAUACCGGAUAGGAGCUCCUGCUGCAUGGUGGGGGUUGGAAAGUUUCGGCGGUUGGGGAUGGACUCGCGGCUUAUCAGCUUGUUGGUGGGGUAGUGGCUUACCAAGGCUUUGACGGGUAGCCGGCCUGAGAGGGUGACCGGCCACAUUGGGACUGAGAUACGGCCCAGACUCCUACGGGAGGCAGCAGUGGGGAAUAUUGCACAAUGGGCGGAAGCCUGAUGCAGCAACGCCGCGUGCGGGAUGCCGGCCUUCGGGUUGUAAACCGCUUUCGCCUGUGACGAAGAGUGAGUGACGGUAAUGGGUAAAGAAGCACCGGCUAACUACGUG